GAGCAGUGAGGAAUUUUGGGCAAUGGGGGAAACCCUGACGCAGCAACGCCGCGUGGGUGAUGAAGGCCUUCGGGUCGUAAAGCCCUGUCAGGUGGGAAGAAUGGCUUGAGGAUGAAUAAGCUUUGAGCGUGACGGUACCACCAGAGGAAGCACCGGCUAACUCCGUG
Molecule: ribosomal RNA, 167 nt
Filed under: uncultured bacterium
Lineage: Bacteria
Description: partial 16S ribosomal RNA
Rfam family: Bacterial small subunit ribosomal RNA
Source: RNAcentral